Molecule: ribosomal RNA, 460 nt
Filed under: uncultured bacterium
Lineage: Bacteria
Description: partial 16S ribosomal RNA
Rfam family: Bacterial small subunit ribosomal RNA
Source: RNAcentral
CCUACGGGCGGCAGCAGUGAGGAAUAUUGGUCAAUGGACGUAAGUCUGAACCAGCCAAGUCGCGUGAGGGAUGAAGGUCCUAUGGAUCGUAAACCUCUUUUAUAAGGGAAUAAAGUGCGGGACGUGUCCCGUUUUGUAUGUACCUUAUGAAUAAGGAUCGGCUAACUCCGUGCCAGCAGCCGCGGUAAUACGGAGGAUCCGAGCGUUAUCCGGAUUUAUUGGGUUUAAAGGGGGCGUAGGCGGGUUAUUAAGUCAGCGGUGAAAGUUUGUGGCUCAACCAUAGAAUUGCCGUUGAAACUGGGAGGCUUGAGUAUGUUUGAGGCAGGCGGAAUGCGUGGUGUAGCGGUGAAAUGCUUAGAUAUCACGCAGAACCCCGAUUGCGAAGGCAGCCUACCAAGCCAUGACUGACGCUGAUGCACGAAAGCGUGGGGAUCAAACAGGAUUAGAUACCCCUGUAGUC